UCCCAUCAUGCCUCAGCCAGCCCGUUGGGACGCCUUGCCUUGACAUCGCCACUGCCCGUAGUUUUCUCUCUCUGCCACUCGCAUCCUGUUUUUGGUCGGGCAGGACGUCGCUUCCUCGGAGAGCUCGAGGCACCUUCCGUGGGAGGGAGGGAGGGACUGAUUUUACCUUGACGACAACCCUGUGAGGCUAACUUUGAAUUGGACUUCAUACUUGCUUAGACAGCCUGGAGUUUCCUGUUUUUAAGAAUAAGUGUCAUACUACGCAGAUAGCAAGAUGAGUUCCUUAAUAGAAACCCCUGAGCUGCCGGCAGUGUUUGAUGGGGUUAAAUUGGCUGCUGUCGCUGCUGUUCUUUACAUUAUAGUCCGUUGCCUGAAUCUGAAGAGCCCAACUGCUCCUCCUGAGCUCAUCUACCAAGACACACCUUUAGCCCGCUUCCUAAUAAAAUCGUGCCCUCUCCUAACUAAAGAGUACAUUCCACCUUUGAUCUGGGGAAAGAGUGGGCACAUCCAGACUGCUCUUUACGGGAAGAUGGG
Molecule: non-coding RNA, 534 nt
Organism: Thamnophis sirtalis
Lineage: Eukaryota; Metazoa; Chordata; Lepidosauria; Squamata; Natricidae
Source: RefSeq, a predicted model, not a curated record